This 151-nucleotide long non-coding RNA is filed under the name Spermophilus dauricus (Daurian ground squirrel). Its description in RNAcentral is "Deleted in lymphocytic leukemia 2 conserved region 6 (ENSSDAG00000017905.1)". It matches the Rfam family "Deleted in lymphocytic leukemia 2 conserved region 6". Lineage: Eukaryota; Metazoa; Chordata; Mammalia; Rodentia; Sciuridae. The record is from RNAcentral.
AAGCUUCGCGGAUUGUCUUUUGCUCCAAGUUAUUUUUGGUGAUUUUUUUUUUUUUUUUUUUUUUUAGUGGUUUUUCGGCGGAGCGCUAGUGGCACUAUACUUUCAGACAGGUUAUCCCGUCUCUCCCGCUAGAUUGAUGAGAUCAGGCAUC